GAGGAAAAGAAACUAACAAGGAUUCCCCUAGUAACUGCGAGUGAAGAGGGAAGAGCUCAAAUUUCGAAUCUGGCGGUCUUUGGCCGUCCGAGUUGUAAUCUAGAGAAGCGUCGUCCGCGCUGGACCGUGUAUAAGUCUCCUGGAAGGGAGCGUCGUAGAGGGUGAGAAUCCCGUCUUUGACACGGACUACCAGUGCUAUGUGAUGCGCUCUCGACGAGUCGAGUUGUUUGGGAAUGCAGCUCAAAAUGGGUGGUAAAUUCCAUCUAAAGCUAAAUACAGGCGAGAGACCGAUAGCGAACAAGUACCGUGAGGGAAAGAUGAAAAGAACUUUGGAAAGAGAGUUAAACAGUACGUGAAAUUGCUGAAAGGGAAACGCUUGAUGUCAGUCGCGUCGGCCGGGGAUCAACCUUGCUUCUCUGCUGGGUGUACUUCCUGGUCGACGGGUCAGCAUCAGCUUCGGUCGCCGUACAAGGGCGAGGGGAACGUGGCACUCUUCGGAGUGUGUUAUAGCCUUUCGUCGUAUGCGGCGGUCGGGACUGAGGAACUCAGCACGGCUUCGGUUUGUGCUUAGGAUGCUGGCAUAAUGGCCUUAAGCGACCCGUCUUGAAACACGGACCAAGGAGUCUAACAUGCCUGCGAGUGUUUGGGUGGCAAACCCGAGCGCGCAAUGAAAGUGAAAGUUGAGACCUCUGUC
This 694-nucleotide ribosomal RNA is filed under the name Suillellus sp. RNAcentral's name for it is "LSU rRNA". It matches the Rfam family "Eukaryotic large subunit ribosomal RNA", at positions 53 to 748 of the family's 3401-position model. The record is from RNAcentral. Lineage: Eukaryota; Fungi; Basidiomycota; Agaricomycetes; Boletales; Boletaceae.